Molecule: long non-coding RNA, 476 nt
Filed under: Triticum aestivum (bread wheat)
Lineage: Eukaryota; Viridiplantae; Streptophyta; Magnoliopsida; Poales; Poaceae
Description: long non-coding RNA (TAES_LNC004772)
Source: RNAcentral
AGAAAUAUUUCAUAUAUUUAAUCAACUCGGUUGCAUUACAUGGAACAAGAUAUGAAGAAGACAUUACAUGAUCUCCUAUAUAACCAUGAAAAUGACAUUCUAUAAUGUAAAUGUAAAACUAUCUUGUAGUAGCCCCGCCCUCCAUCUUUGUAUCAACAACUUACCCAUACAGCAUCUUCGUCUUCGUCGCCUUUCAUGCUGGAUGACAAGCUUCUCUAUGAACUUCCUGCAGACCCAUCCUAUGACAUUGUUAUAGGAUGAAUCACCACCACCCUGCCCAUCAUUCAGUACAGGAACUGACUGGCAAAGCGCCACUACAACAGAUUAAAUAAACAUAAUGAAAAUCCGGCAUGAGGAGAUGGAAGCCACAUGUAACACUUAAAUAUUCUGGGAUUGAUAAUUUAUCGAAGGAAGGCUCACAUCAGUUCAGUGUAUCAUAAAUUAUCAUGACAAAUCCUUGUCGUUCCUUAUCCUAG